GUGAUUGCCCUCAAUCUUUUUCCAAAGAGACUUAGCCAAUUGAUUCAGGGAACUGUACACUUGAGAAAGGGAAAUCCAAACAAUAUAAGGACUUUUGACAAAGGGUCUGAGUUCACAGUGACACUUGGAUACUCAGUCUGCAACCCAUGACUGAUCAACACUGGGCUAUAACAUGGUCAGGCCCCUUACCCCAAACUAUGGAGAAUUCUGAAGGACCACGCAGGCCCAGAGCUCCCCAUGUGUUUGGCUGAGGCCUUCUUUUGGACUGCUUUGCAUCUCAUCUUCUCUCUCUGCCCAAUUCUACCUCCUUCCCGUUCUUCCAUGGGUGUUGAUGGCAAAAACACUUCAUACUGAUGUCCUGCAAGCUAAUCUUCUCAGAGUCUCCUCCCGGUUAACCAAUCCACAGCACUGGGGGAGUCUGGGAACUGGUAGGAAGUGAGAGGUUCCUUGUGUGGGAUCUCUUCCAGUUGCUCCUCCAGGUCUUUCCUCCCUCCUUCUUCUUGCUCUGUUCCCUGAUCUAUGGACUGCGUCAUCCAAGCCCCUUUGCCCACUGGCUUCUCAAGGGAGCCCAACAGGAGACUGAAGGGUGGGAGAAGAAAGCAACGAAAGUAUUUGUCACCCAGGCUCCCUCACAGUCUGGCCAAAGACCAGUGAGAGCCAUGCUGCACAGAAGCUUAGAAAUCAAGCAGAUGUGGGUCCAAAGUUUUAGCUGCAUGACUGAAACAUGCGAUCUCACCUCUCUGAGCCUCAGUUUCCUCAUCCAUACCCAAGAGAGCAAUGACACCUACCUGUGUCAGGAUGCUUUUAGCUCUAAGCAACAGAAAAUAUGAACUGAACUGAAAAAAAUAAUAAUCACCUUUACCUCAUAUAGCAGGAAAUUCUGAGGUCCUGAGGAUUCUGAGUGAAGAGCAGUUGGGGCUCUGGCACCAUUUCUCUCCAGUUCUCUUGCUUUGCUUGGCGCUCCUUUGUGUGAAGGUUUUGUCUUCACGCUGCCUUCCUUCACUGUUGAAAGAAGACCACAAGCAGCAACAAUGGAAGCAUGCUUUCUCGUUCCCAUCCAGUGGAAGAGAGUGAAUAGCUUUCCCCUGAACCAUGGAAUAAAGCCUUUCCUUCAGUCUGACUGGAUCAACCUAGUUUGCUUGUCCACCCCUUUACCCGUGAAAAUAGCUGAUUGUCCAAGGCCUAGGGACCAAAUCAGUCAUUGGGCAGGAGAAUGAUAUGACCAUGAUUCAUUUAAACUAAUCAGGAUCCACCCCUGGAGCUGGAGUCUCACAGGCUUCCUGGAGGAAAGACAGACACCGUUCCUGGAAGCGCUCAGGUGAACAGCAUUCUGAGGAGAGCGGGCUUGGGCUGGGGUAGCCGGAUGCAGAGUGCGACUGGGCUCC
RNAcentral lists this long non-coding RNA (1385 nucleotides) under Equus caballus (horse). RNAcentral describes it as "lncRNA (ENSECAG00000055106.1)". Lineage: Eukaryota; Metazoa; Chordata; Mammalia; Perissodactyla; Equidae. The record is from RNAcentral.